Astatotilapia calliptera (eastern happy) is the source of this 899-nucleotide long non-coding RNA. Lineage: Eukaryota; Metazoa; Chordata; Actinopteri; Cichliformes; Cichlidae. The record is from Ensembl.
CUGGAAUAUCUAUAUAAUUACCCUAACUGCUUAGGCAAAUGUGAAUAUAAUGACAAAUUAAGUCAUUUUCCAUGGUACACGUCGGUGUAUUUAGCCAGGCUUGUAACACAGAUGCCCCUAUCAUGAUGACUAUAUUUGCAUGUAAUUUGAUGCAGGGAAAACACCGGGCUAUAUUCACUUGCACAAUUAUUCAAGACUAAUGGGUAGACGUCGCCCUCUGUCGGCGAGGACACACCACUAAACCACAAGGGGGAUCAAACUUUUAUGUCCCUCCAUUAACGCUGAACACAGACACCAAAAUUGUCGUUUUCUAAAUUGCAGGGUAUACGUUCGCUUUAAUCAUGUGACCGUGUACGGUAAUGCAAGUAACGGUACACAAAGUGGACAACUUUUUAUGAUUCGCUCCAGAUGUUGAGGAUUGUAACUUUAGACCUAAAGACUUUCUCUAGUCCUCUGUCAUUUGUGCAAGUGGAUUCUUGAGGGAAUAGUGAGGCGCUCUUAUUCCAGCUUUCACCCCCACCAGAGGAACCUAAAGGGACAACGCUCCCUGCAGAGGCACCAGAUGUGCGCUGUUAUGGGGAGCAAGGAGGGGGGUGAGGCAUCAGAUAAGCCCUGUUCCCAAAGCCGGGACGGAUCGAGUAUCAUCAUCGGGGGCGAAACCCAAACCCUGCGCAGUGGGUCGGAUUUCUGUUUACACGAGCGUGGUCCCUGGAUUCCUCAAACCAGAGCAGACCAGAGAGCUCGGCGACACUGUGAGGUCUGCGAGACAGAGGCUUUCAAUGAUGCAGAAGAGCAAUGGAAACCAACUGUCCUAAUGUAGGCCAUACUGCACUGUUAACGUGUUAAUGGACAAAAUGAGGAAAAUUGUAGUAAAGUUAUAAAAUAAAAGUUGUUACAGC